CCACAUGCUUAGCGUUCCAAUAUUAGAACACUAGGCAUAAAUUUAAUAUAGUUUACAAUGUCCUGUAUGAUCUGACCACAAUCUCUCUAGCCUUACCUUCCACUAGCCUUCUCAUCUCACUGUUGUGUUUCUCUCUUCUCCAUCGCAAAUGACAAGUUUCAGUCCCAUUUCUUCCAUAAUUUAUUUUGUUACAGAGCAUGUUCAUAUAUCCAGACAGUUGUUUCUACCUGGAAUGCUUUCUACCCAUUCUUCCUUUCAUAUUACUCCUUAUUCUCACAUGUCAAGCCAUUUGAAUCUAUCAGUCACUCAUAGUCAUAUUGUAUCUUUCAGCCACAGGCUCUUUGCAUAUGCUUUCUAUUCUAAAUACUUUUCUAUGCAUGCCAUCUUUCUUUUUAUCUAGGUGUCUCUACUCAUUCCAGAUCAGCUAUCCCUUUUCAAAGAAGUCAUUCUUGCCUAGCUUAUUAAAUCAAAUCUCUUUAAGUGACCUUAUAUCCUGAUAGCUCUCUUUUGUUGCAUUUAUCAUUGCAAUAGAUUUACUUCUGUGACUUUUAAGAUGUUUGUAUCUUCCACUAGGUUCUUGAAAGCAGACAUUCUGUCUGCUUUUGCUUACUCUCUUAGGCAUAUGAUUCAUUUUUAGAGUACAUUCAUAUAUAGAUAUUCUAGUAUACUACACAAAAUAUGCAUAUUAAAAACUUUGGCAUGAAAUUGGAAUUUAUUUUUAAUUUUCUAAUUUUAAACAUCACUUGUAUUUGAUAAACCUUUUAAAGGUAAUUUCUGCCUGCAGUCAGAAUUAGAGAAAAGAUAAGCCAUUUUAAUAUGUUUUCUAGCACUUACUAAAAUAUUUUACUUAUUAUUUGUACUUCCAAAAUUUUUGACCGACUGGAUUUCCAUAUGGAAUAUUUUUCAACUUUAUUCCUAGAUAUAGUAAUGUUGACUGUAAAAACUUUGUCAUUUGUUUAAAAGGUUUUAUUUUAUAUAUUUUCUAUUAAAAGAGUGAUUUUUACCCUACUAUAUAAAGGUGAAAGCUUUCUUUUCCAAAUGUAACUUACAUUUCUUUUUCAAAUGUAAUUUCAAAUGUAAUUAUGGGGUUGUAACCCCAUAAAUUGGUAGAUGAAACCAAAGAUCAGUGAUAUGGGUCUAGAUUGGAAGAGCCAAACAAAUAUUCUAAAUUUUUAUUUGUGUAAAUUUACGGGAUACAAGUGCAGUUUUGUUACAUGCAUCCAUCACAAAGAGGUCAAUUCAAGGCUUUUAGGGUAUCUAUCACCCAAAUACUUUACAUUAUACCCAUUCAGUAAUUUCUCUUCACCCACUCUAUCUCAUCCUGUCACCCUUCUGAGUCACUAUUAUCUAUCAUUAUACUCUCUAUGUCCAUGUUUCUACAUUUGUAUGUCCACUUAUGACUGAGAAUACACAAUAUUUGUCUUUCUGUGUCUGACAUAUUUCAUUUCAGAUAAUGUCCUCCAAUUUUGUCCAUGUUGCUGCAAAUGUCAUAAUUUCAUAUUUUUUUGGCUGAAUAGUACUCCAUUGUGUAUAUAUGCCAAAUUUUCUUUAUUCAAUCAUCUAUUGAUGACACUUAAGUUGAUUCAAUGUCUUUGCUACUAUAAAUAGUGCUGCGAUGAGCCUAUCAGUGCAGAUAUCUUUUUGAUUCAUUGAUCUUUUUUCUUUUGGGGAGAUACCCAGUAGUGUGACUGCUGUAUGAAAUUGUAGUUAUACUUUUAGUUCUUCAAGAAAUCUCCAUACUGUUGUCCAUAAAGCUUGUACUAAUUUACAUUCCCACCAACAGUAUAUGAGAGUUCCCUUUUCUCUAAAUUCUCACUAAAAUCUGGUAUUUUUUGUCUUUCUAAUAGCCAUUUUGACAGGCAUAUUAUAUCUCAUUGUGCUUUUAAUUUGCAUUUUUCAGAUGCUUAGUGAUGUUGAGCAUUUUUUCAUAUACCUAUUGGUCAUUUGUAUGUCUUCUUUUGAGAAGUGUCUAUUAAUGUAUUUUGCCCACUUUUUAAUUGGAUUACUUGUUUUGGGGUGGGGGGUUGUUGUUGGUGGGUUAUUUGAGUUCUUUCUACAUCCUGGAUAUUAGUCCCCUGCCAAAUGCAUAGUCUGCAAAUAUUUUCUCCCGUUCAACAGGUUGUCAGCUCUCUCUGUUGAUUGUUUCUUUUGCUGUGCAGAAGCUUUUUAGUUUAAGUUCAGUUUGUCUAUUUUUGUUGCGUGUACUUUUGAGGUCUUAGUCAUAAAUUAUUUGCCUAGACCAAUAUCCAAAUGAGUUUUUCCUAGGUUUCCUUCUAGUAUUUUUAUAGCUUCAAGUCUUAUGUUUAUGUCUUUGAUAUAUUUUUAAUUUAUUUUUGUAUAUGGUGAGAGAUAGGGGAUAGGAGCCGUGUUUGUUUGUUUUUGUUGUUUGAGGGCCCCGUUUUGAUUGCAGGAGAGGCCCGUCUGGAGCUGCCACUGCGAAGACGCGGGCUGCAGCGGGGGAGGCGGGGAGGGGGCUGCGCACUCCACAGAGCCAAGGGAAGCAAGGAACAGGUGGAAGUCCCGCCCCCUUCCGAGUUAGCUGGGCAGGAGCCUCCUGCUUCCCAGGUGAAGCUGCAGCCACCCAGCUGUGUGUGCGGACCCGGGCAUUUCUGUGCUCUUGGGGGCCAGGGACAGGCAGGGUCCCCGCCUCCUGGGGUGCAGCUACAGCCGCCCAAGCCAUGGCUACGGACCCAAGCAUCUCUGCACUCUCCGGGCCCGGGAAGCAGCCCCUUGCCCCAGCAGGCUCAGAAGUGCCUGCUCUCACUGCCUGGCCUCUCCCGGCGCCCUCUCCGAUCUCAGAGCAAAGUUGAGGCCAAGCCCAGGUGCUGUCACAAACCCAGUCGGCUGUGCCCACUCUUGGGGCAGUGCUGACACAUCAGGCCCCUGCCGCCUCAGCCCUCUCUGGAUUUUGGGCACUGACGAGCAUGGGCUGUGACACCCUCUUUGGGGCUCUGCGGUUCCUGGCAUCUCCAAUCUUCUGGGCGCUACUGCGUUCCCUGGUGCCAGCCAUGGAAGCUGCUUGCAGUAAGCCUGGUCUAGCCGCAGCCUCACAGGGAGCCGGCACCCGUGCGGGCACCUGGAGCUGCCCCACCCCCCGACCCCCAGCCGGCAUGCCUGGCUGUGCGCAGUGGCCAGACCCCACCUCGCUCCCUCAUACAUCCCUCACUGCUCCACGCCUGGCUCACCCAUGUCAGGUGUGACAUCCAGGCCAGUAGCGCGAGCCAAGCGCAGCCUGCCAGGCCAAAACAGGCAGAACGAGCCCAGCAGGCCCGAGCAAAACUCAGGCAAAAGCGUCACCAGCCACAGAGGUUCCCAGCUGGCGAAACAACACCCCAAGGAUCCUGUGACAGUUUCAUUUUUCUUCAUGUGGCCAUUCAAUCUUCCCACCACUGUUUAUUGAAAAGGGUGUCCUUUCCCCAAUGUGUAUUCUUGUUUACUUUGUCAAAUACCAGUUGGCUAUAAGUAUGUGACUUUAUUUCCGGGUUCUCUAUUCUGUUCCAUUGAUUUACGUGCCUGUUUUUUAUACCAGUACCACGUUGUUCUAAGCCUUGUAAUAAAAUUUGAAGUCAGGCGAUGUGAUACCUCCAGGUUUUUUCCUUUUGCUUUGGAUCACUUUGGCCAUUCAGGGUCUUUUUGGUUUCAUAUACAUUUUAGGUUUGCUUUAUCUAAUUCUGUGAAAAAUGACAUUGGUAUUUUGAUAUAGAUUUCAAUGAAUCCGCAGAUUCAAUGAAAGUAUGGUCAUUUUAAUGAUAUUUGUGUUUCCAGUCCAUGAGCUUGGGAUAUUUUUUAUUUGUGUCAUCUACAAUUUCUUUCAUCAGUGUUUCACCAAAGAUCUUUUACUUCCUUGGUUAAAUAUAUUCUUAGGUAUUUAUAUUUAUUUUUGUAGCUAUUGUAAAUGAGAUUACCUUCUUGAUUUGGUUCUCAGCUAAAUUGUUGCUGGUCCAUAGAAACACUACUGAUUUUUGUAUGCUUUUUUGUAUCCUUCAAGUUUACUGAAUUCAUUUAUCAAAUUUAAGAGCUUUUUCUAGAAUUUUUAGGUUUUUCCACCUGUAAGAUUAUAUCUUAAAUAAGCAAAGAUAACUUGACUUGCUCUUUUCGAGUUUGUAUACCUUUUAUUUCUUUCUCUUGCCUUGUUGCUCUGGCUAGGACUUCUAGUACUAUGUUGAAUAGGUGUGGUGCAAGCGGGCAUUCUUGUCUUGCUCCAGUUCUUAGGGGAAGUGCUUUCAACUUUUCCUAAUUCAGUAUGAUAUUGGCUAUGGGUUUGUCAUAUAUGACAUUUAUUAUUUUGAGGCAUGUUCCUUCAAUGCCUAGUUAAAUGAGGGUUUUAUCAUGAAAAUAUGUUGAAUUUUAUCAAGUGCUUUAUUUGCAUCUAUUGAGAUGAUCAUAGGGUUUUUGUCCUUCAUUCUGUUUAUAUACUGUAUCAUAUUUACUGGUCAGCAUAUGUUUAAUCAUCUUUGCAUCCCUGGUGUAAAACCGAAUUUAUUGUGGUGUAUUAUCUUUUUGAUAUGCUGUUGUAUUUGGUUUGCUAGUAUUUUGCUGAAAAUUUUGUGUCUAUGAUUAUAAGGGAUAUUGUUCUGGAGUUUUGUUGUUGUGAUUGUGUCCUUGUCUGGUUUUGGUAUCAAGGUGAUAAUGGCCUCCUAGAAUGAGUUAGAAAAAAUUCCCUCUUCCUCAAUUUUUUGAACAGUUUCAGAAGGAUUGCUAUUAGUUCUUCAUACCUUUGGUAGAAUUUGGCUGUAAAUCCAUCUGGCACUGGGAUUUUCUUUGUUGAAAGAUUUUUUUUUUUAUUACUGACUCAAUCUUGCUGCUGUUUAUUGGCCUGCUCAGGUUUUUAAAUUUUUUCUUGGUUCAAUCUUAGGAAGAUGCAUGUUUCCAGGAAUUUAUCUAUUUCCUUUAGCCUUUUUAGUUUGUGAGUAUAUAGUUAUUCAUAAUAUUCUCUAAUGAUCUUUUAUAUUUCAUAUCUCCUUUUUCACUUUUGAUUCUACUUUUAUUGUCUCCUGUCUCUUAUUGGUUAGUUUAUCAGUUUUGUUUGUCUACUCAAAUAAUCUAGUUUUGUUUUAUCUUUUGUAAUUUUUUUUUGGUCUUUUUUCAUUUAGAUCGGCUCUGACUUUGUUAUUUCUUUUCUUCUGCAGUUUUGGUUUGUUUUUGCUUUUCUAGUCCCUUCAAGUGUAUUAUUAGAUUGUUAAUUUGUAAUCUUUCUACUUUUUUAAUGCAGAUAUUGAAGCUAUAAAGUUCUCUCUUAGCACUGCUUUGCUGUAUCUCACAGAUUUUGGUAGGCUGCAUUUCCAUGCUGAGGGAAUUCAUCACCACUAGACGGGACCUACAAGCAACACUCAAAGAGAAACUGCCUCAAAAAUGGCAAUAUCUUCUUUGUGCUUAAUGACCCUAACUUCAUGAAGACUUGGCAUAUAGGUUUCAUCCAUGUUGCAGCAUGUGUUAGAAUUUCACUUACUUCUAGAUUCAAUGCAAUCCCCAUCAAAAUAUCAACAUCAUUCUUCACAAAAUUAGCAAAAACAAUUUAAAAAUUUAUAUGUAACCGAAAAAGAAAAGUGCAAAUAGUGCAAGCAAUCCUGAGCUGAAAGGACAAAGCUGAAGGCAUCACAUCACACUACCUGACUUCAAAAUACAUUACAAGGCUAUAGUAAACGACAUGGUAUUGGUAAAAAUACACACAUGGAACAAUGAAACAAUUUAAAAAGCAGAAAAUGUCAUGUAUUUAUAACUAACUAAUCUUCGACAAAGAUGACAAGAGCUUACAUUGAGGAAAGAGAACCCUCUUCAAUAAAUGGUGCUGGAAAAAUUGGAGAGCCAAAUGCAGACAAAUAAAACUGGAAUUCUAUCUUCCACACAUGCAACAAUUAACUUACAACAAAUUAAAGAUUUAAAUAUAAGACAAGAAAAUACAAAAAAUACUAAAAGAAAAUCUAGGAAAAAGUAUUUUGGACAUUUGUCUAGGCAAAACAUUUAUGAAGACCUCAAAAGCACAAGCAACAAAAACAAAAACAGACAAGUGGGGCUAUAUUAAACUAAACAGCUUCUGCACAGCAGAGGAAACAACACAGUGAGGAGAAAACCUGUUGAAUGAGAGAAAAUAUUUGCAAACUAUCCACCCAACAGGGGCCUAAUGUCAAGAAUAUAAAAGGAACUCAAACAACUGAACAGGAAAAGACCAACUAAUUACAAAUAAUCCCAUACAACAGCGGGCAAAGGACAUGAAUAGAUAUUUUUCAGAAGAAAACACAAAUGGCCACAGGUGUAUAAAAAAUGAUCAGUCAAUAUCACUAAUCAUUACUGAUUAAGUUAAAAGCACAAUAAGCUACCAUCUUAUACCUGUCAAAAUGAUUAUUAUUAAAAAGACAACAGAUGUUGAUGAAGAUGUGGAAAAAAGGGAACACUUACAUAUUGUUGGUGGGGGUGCAAACUAUUAAAACAGUAUAGAGAUUUUCCAAAAAACUGAAAAUAGUAUUACCAUUUGAUCCAGUAAUCUCAUUACUUGGGUAUCGGUCUGAACAAAAAAGAAUGAAUAUGUCCAAGGGAAACCUGCACUUGCAUGUUUAUUGCAGCACUAUCCACAAUAGCAAAUAUGUGGAACCAAUUAGUUUUCAUCAAUAGAUGAUGGAGUAGAGAAUAUUUGGUAUAUAUACAGCAUGGACUAUUAUUCAGUCAUUAGAAAAGAAUGGAAUCCUGUCAUUUGCAGCAACAAGGAUAGAACUGGGAGGUCAUUAUCUUAAGUGAAAUGAAUCCGGCACAAAUUGGCAAAUAUCACAUGUUCUCACUUAUAUGUGAGAUUAAAAAUAUUUGAUCACAUAGAGAUAGACAAUGAAACUACAGAAACUGGGAAAGGUGAGUCAGGGAAGGGAAGAGGAUGAAGAGAACUGGUUAAAGGGUAUAAACAUACAGCAAGAUAGAAGGAAUAAAUUCAAUAUUUAUAGUAGAGUAGGGUAAAUAUACUUAACAAAAAUAUACUGGGGCUCAUGUUAUGAAUAUCCUAAAUACACUGACUUGAUUGCUAUGCAUUAUAUACCUGUAACACAAUUUCCCACAUAUCCCAUAAAUUUGUGUAAAUAAAAAAAUUAUUUAUUCGUAAGACUGAAUAAUACUUCAUUGUCUAUA
This is a long non-coding RNA of Homo sapiens (human), 7110 nucleotides long. RefSeq lists it as uncharacterized. The record is from RefSeq and is a predicted model, not a curated record. The transcript has 3 exons. Lineage: Eukaryota; Metazoa; Chordata; Mammalia; Primates; Hominidae.